RNAcentral lists this signal recognition particle RNA (288 nucleotides) under Saimiri boliviensis boliviensis (Bolivian squirrel monkey). RNAcentral describes it as "Metazoan signal recognition particle RNA (ENSSBOG00000006923.1)". It matches the Rfam family "Metazoan signal recognition particle RNA". From Rfam's summary of the family: The signal recognition particle (SRP) is a universally conserved ribonucleoprotein. It is involved in the co-translational targeting of proteins to membranes. Lineage: Eukaryota; Metazoa; Chordata; Mammalia; Primates; Cebidae. The record is from RNAcentral.
GCUGGGCUCAGUGGCACGUGCCUGUAGUCCCAGCUGCUCGGGAGGCUGAGGUGGGAGGAUCGCUGGAGCCCAGGAGUUCUAGGCUGUAAUGCGCUACGCCAAUCGGGUGUCCGCACUAAGUUCAGCAUCAAAAUGGUGACCUCCCAGUAGCAGGGGACCACCAGGUGGCCUAAGGAGGGGUGAACCGGCCCAGGUCGGAAACGGAGCAGGUCAAAACUCCUGUGCUGAUCAGUACCUGUGAAAAGCCACUGCACUCCAGCCUGGGCAACACAGAGAGACCCCGUCUCU